Molecule: non-coding RNA, 74 nt
Organism: Cucumis melo (muskmelon)
Lineage: Eukaryota; Viridiplantae; Streptophyta; Magnoliopsida; Cucurbitales; Cucurbitaceae
Source: Rfam
GUUGCUGUGGUGUAGUGGUUAUCACGUCAGUCUUACACACUGAAGGGUCCCCAGUUCGAUCCUGGGCAGCAACA